AUAUAUAUAUUCAUUCAUCCUUCCAUCCAUCCAUUGUGGGUAAAUGGGAGGCCAUUCACGGAGUCGGAGGCAAGGCAUCAAUAGAGAGUUCAUGUUUAUAUUUUUAUAUUCUUUUAUUCCACCCCUUGGAAGGAAAGAAGAUCUUCAUUUUCACUUCUCCUAAUGGGGGUAGUACAAGGUGGCCUCAUCCUUAUUCUUCUACUUAUUCAUUCUCACUGUUUUGUUUUUUUUUUUUUUUUUCAUUCUCUAUAAUAAAUUAUUCCAUACACAUAUAUAUAUAUAUAUAUAUAUAUAUGUAUAUAGGUUACCCUUCUGACGCAGAAGAAGACCAUGA
RNAcentral lists this long non-coding RNA (334 nucleotides) under Physcomitrium patens. RNAcentral's name for it is "long non-coding RNA (PPAT_LNC007236)". The record is from RNAcentral. Lineage: Eukaryota; Viridiplantae; Streptophyta; Bryopsida; Funariales; Funariaceae.